Molecule: ribosomal RNA, 762 nt
Filed under: uncultured bacterium
Lineage: Bacteria
Description: bacterial SSU rRNA
Rfam family: Bacterial small subunit ribosomal RNA
Source: RNAcentral
UUAGAGUUUGAUCCUGGCUCAGGAUGAACGCUGGCGGUAUGCUUAACACAUGCAAGUCGAACGGUGUCUUCGGACAUAGUGGCGGACGGGUGAGUAACGCGUGAGAAUCUAGCUUCAGGUCUGGGACAACCACUGGAAACGGUGGCUAAUACCGGAUGUGCCGGAAGGUGAAAGGCUUGCUGCCUGAAGAUGAGCUCGCGUCCGAUUAGCUAGUAGGUGGGGUAAGAGCCUACCUAGGCGACGAUCGGUAGCUGGUCUGAGAGGAUGACCAGCCACACUGGGACUGAGACACGGCCCAGACUCCUACGGGAGGCAGCAGUGGGGAAUUUUCCGCAAUGGGCGAAAGCCUGACGGAGCAAUACCGCGUGAGGGAGGAAGGCUCUUGGGUUGUAAACCUCUUUUCUCAGGGAAGAACACAAUGACGGUACCUGAGGAAUCAGCAUCGGCUAACUCCGUGCCAGCAGCCGCGGUAAUACGGAGGAUGCAAGCGUUAUCCGGAAUGAUUGGGCGUAAAGCGUCCGCAGGUGGCUGUGUAAGUCUGCUGUCAAAGAGCAAAGCUCAACUUUGUAAAGGCAGUGGAAACUACACGGCUAGAGUGCGUUCGGGGCAGAGGGAAUUCCUGGUGUAGCGGUGAAAUGCGUAGAGAUCAGGAAGAACACCGGUGGCGAAGGCGCUCUGCUAGGCCGCAACUGACACUGAGGGACGAAAGCUAGGGGAGCGAAUGGGAUUAGAUACCCCAGUAGUCCUAGCUGUAAACGAUGG